GCAAGUCGAACGGCAGCGCGGGAGCAAUCCUGGCGGCGAGUGGCGAACGGGUGAGUAAUGCAUCGGAACGUGCCCAUCGAUGGGGGAUAACUGCGCGAAAGCGUUGCUAAUACCGCAUACGACCUACGGGUGAAAGCAGGGGACCGCAAGGCCUUGCGUCGAUGGAGCGGCCGAUGCCGGAUUAGCUAGUUGGUGAGGUAAAGGCUUACCAAGGCGACGAUCCCGUAGCUGGUCUGAGAGGACGACCCAGCCACACUGGGACUGAGACACGGCCCAGACUCCUACGGGAGGCAGCAGUGGGGAAUCUUGGACAAUGGGCGCAAGCCUGAUCCAGCAAUGCCGCGUGUGGGAAGAAGGCCUUCGGGUCGUAAACCACUUUUGGCAGGAAAGAAAUCGUCCGGGUUAAUACCCUGGAUGGAUGACGGUACCUGCAGAAUAAGCACCGGCUAACUACGUG
This 457-nucleotide ribosomal RNA is filed under the name uncultured bacterium. RNAcentral describes it as "bacterial SSU rRNA". It matches the Rfam family "Bacterial small subunit ribosomal RNA", at positions 57 to 507 of the family's 1533-position model. The record is from RNAcentral.